Ceratitis capitata (Mediterranean fruit fly) is the source of this 1025-nucleotide long non-coding RNA. RefSeq lists it as uncharacterized. The transcript has 3 exons. The record is from RefSeq and is a predicted model, not a curated record. Lineage: Eukaryota; Metazoa; Arthropoda; Insecta; Diptera; Tephritidae.
UUGUGACAAUUCGCUGAACAUUGGCAAGGAAUAAAUACACAGAUACACAUACAGAAAAUAAUAGAAAAAAAUAAAAUAAAAUACAAUUGACGGUUAAAGGAUGAGGAAGCAACUGUCUGAGAUAAUAUUUAAAAGAAUAUGCAAAGAUCAUCGGAAGGAAGCGACGCAAUGUUGGCUUGUCUUAGUAAAUUAAUUGAAAUUUCAUAUAAAUGCAAAAGGAAAGCAACAGAGAGGGUCGCAGAGAGAAUGUCCGAUGAAAGCUUACUUUGUGUGCCACCACCACUACCACCACGGCGAAGCACCACCGGCUGAGCUGAUCUCAAAUUUCAUCUUAAGACAAAUGUCCACACACACACACAUACAUACAUGCAUACAUACUCACAUAACUACUGCUGCGUUGGCCAGUUGAACGCAUGUGUUGGCGGAGACGAUGCAGGCGCUCAUCGCAGCCAUGGUUAUGCAGUAAGCUAGCCAAGUGAAAUGAAGAUGAAGACGCUGCCGGCGAAAGGAAGUCCGUCGAAAUUAUUAUAGAAAUGUUGAGGCAAAGAAAGGAGCACUGGAGAGUACUGGAAAUACGGCUGCAUGAUAGAAAAGUACGUGUAAGUAAGGAAAGAACGUAGAAUUCCGGUAAAGUUACUUGUGAAAGAAAUUAGCAUGUUGAUGCUGAGGGCAGUAGGAGUGUUGUGGAAAGAGGGUACGUAGUGGACCCAUGCUUACUGGAGAAAAUUAACGAAAAAUACUUUGGCAACAGUUUAAAUGAGUAUACCCAAAUGCAGCAACAACAAAAGUAAUAACAACAGCAUUGAGUACGGCUUGUACGGCUUCAAGCAAAAGAAGAAGACUAAGAAAAAACAACAACUAUUCACCCGUCAAGCAAAUGAAUGGUAGACAAAGAAUAAUUGCAGUCGCCAUGAACUUCCCGCCGAAAGAAACCAACUCCAGCGCUGUACCAGGAUGCCUCAUUUCCUUAGCGAAGAUGUUCUUAUUACAAUAUAUAAAUGCACUCGGUGGAGUUGUUCUUCUGU